AGAGUCUCCUUUUCCCAUCGAUAGAAAGACUUGUGUCAACGAUAGGGGAAUGGCCGGUUUAUCGAUUACGAGUUUCAAAGUCCGUCUCGUGUAUGAACCUUUGUGUUUAGAGGCAAAAUGAAUUUUGCGAAAUCUUGGAGCGAAUUUAAAGAAAUACUUCGCAGACACGAAGUAGAAACUGUAACAAAAUAUGUUUACUACUAUGGAAAGUCAUUCGAUAAAGAGACACCAAUGGACUAGCAGAUAAGAUAGCUGAAUACUGGAUGUUUGAUCAAGGUACAAAUACUGUUGAAUGGAUUAGCUGCAUGGGAAUUUUCCUGUUCUCCUUAUAUAUAAGUGAAUACAAGACAGUUUCCCAUUAGACCUUCUCAAAGGCAUCCUUUUUGCUUGAACUAACUCCAGAUUUACGAUUAAACUGGUUAGAUGAUAUUCCCUAUUUCCACUUUGGGCGAAAAACCUAUGUUUGCCAUCAAGGAAAAGAUCUGAAUAAACGUCAAAAGGAAAAUUAUGCUAAAGAAAAAAAUGAAAAGUGUCAAACUGAUCAUGCUUUUGGUAAAGCAUAUUCCAAGAACCAGACAACUAAAAAAGUUAAUUGUCCAGCUGUAAUUAAUGUUACCCGAAUGUACAGGAUGCCUCAGUUCAAGAUGCCCUAGAGGAGUUGCAUGGUAUCUAAAAUUUCUGUGAAACACAGUUUGAAAACCUUCAGACUACUCGAAAACUUCAGAUUAUGUGAAAAAAGAAAUGUAGAUGUAAAGAGCAGUGAUUAAAAAGUUUUAAUGACCAAAAUAUUUUCAUUCCAUCAGAUUAUUUGUGUAUUUUGAAGAAGACACAAUCAGAUAAUAAGAUCACAAAUAGAGGAUAAGUUUUUUUUUUUUCUUUUUUUUGGGGGGGGGAAUUAUUGCAUAUACCAUACAUUUUAACAUAUAGAAUAUUCUUGGAUUGUCUACUGAAAAAAGUACAUAAUAUAUGUAAAUUUUAAUAUAUAAGAAGUAAUGCAAAUAUUUCAAUAAAUGAAUGGAUAAAAAAAUGGCCUUCUUAAACAACCUCAUGUUUAAAUUACUUAGAGGAAUUUAUGCGAACAUGUUUCUGUUGGCAUUAAUUAAACAUUAACAAAUGUAGAUGAACACAAAUUGCAUAAUGUAUUUUAAUUGAAUAUAUGUUUUGGAAUGAAAAAUGUAAACAGCCUUAAUAUACUUAAUAACUCGGAUUUGUAAUGCAUAUAUUUUUAUUUCCAAUGGCAGACAAAAGUAUUUAUACAGACACACUAUCAAAUAAACACACACAAACAAAUAUAUCACACACUAAAUAAACAGAGAAUAAGGAAGCCUAUUUACUACUGCUUGAACAUACUCUAGGCUUCCAGUAACAGCCACAGAGAUCCUGUACAAAGAGAGCCAUGCAUUUUGCAGAUGGUGGAGGUUCGUAUCUUGGGCUUUUAUCACAAAGGACGAAUACAGAAUUUUUUAAUCAAAAAGUUUUGCUGAAUAAUGACGAGUUAAAAUACAAGUUAUUAUGAUGGAAUUAGCCUUUGGGUAUCGGAAAUGAAUAUGUAGUUGAAGAACGAAGGUUUGCUUUAAAUUACAGAUUUCUAAUACAUUAAUUUAAUUAUGUGUUUUAAAAAUAUCAUUUUAAUAUAAUAUUUUUCUAAUACAUUUAUUUUAUUAUCCAAAAUUAUUUUCUAAUUAACAGAAAGAUACAGCAUAACUUUCAGUGAUCCAUUGUCAAAAAAAGGCUUCUUCUGGACAGCUUAAUAAUAGUACAAGGAAAUAAGCUUAUUUUAUGCAUGCCUUGUGGCAUGAGAUAAUGAAUUUCUGAAGUAUUUUAAAAACUGUAAAAAUAUGUACAUAUACCAUAGAAAUGAUUUUUAA
This 1868-nucleotide unclassified non-coding RNA is filed under the name Stegodyphus dumicola. RNAcentral describes it as "uncharacterized LOC118200214, transcript variant X1". The record is from RNAcentral. Lineage: Eukaryota; Metazoa; Arthropoda; Arachnida; Araneae; Eresidae.